Molecule: ribosomal RNA, 441 nt
Filed under: uncultured bacterium
Lineage: Bacteria
Description: partial 16S ribosomal RNA
Rfam family: Bacterial small subunit ribosomal RNA
Source: RNAcentral
CCUACGGGGGGCAGCAGUGGGGAAUAUUGCACAAUGGGGGGAACCCUGAUGCAGCGACGCCGCGUGAGUGAAGAAGUAUUUCGGUAUGUAAAGCUCUGUCAGCAGGGAAGAAGAAAGACGGUACCUGACCAAGAAGCCCCGGCUAACUACGUGCCAGCAGCCGCGGUAAUACGUAGGGGGCAAGCGUUAUCCGGAUUUACUGGGUGUAAAGGGAGCGUAGAGGGCAGUGCAAGUCUGGAGUGAAAGCCCGGGGCCCAACCCCUGGACUGCUCUUGAAACUGUCCGGCUGGAGUGCAGGAGAGGUAAGCGGAAUUCCUAGUGUAGCGGUGAAAUGCGUAGAUAUUAGGAGGAACACCAGUGGCGAAGGCGGCUUACUGGACUGUAACUGACGUUGAGGCUCGAAAGCGUGGGGAGCGAACAGGAUUAGAUACCCUUGUAGUC